Long non-coding RNA from Paramacrobiotus metropolitanus, 1625 nucleotides. RefSeq lists it as uncharacterized. The transcript is spliced from 4 exons. The record is from RefSeq and is a predicted model, not a curated record. Lineage: Eukaryota; Metazoa; Tardigrada; Eutardigrada; Parachela; Macrobiotidae.
ACGGCGUUGUUUACGGCUAUUUGGAUGAUCGUCCGCGGUUUUACGCUUUCGUCCUUUUGCUGGCAGUGUUGGUGGAAACAAGGCGACACGACCAUGUUUUAUUGGACCAUCUCGAUCGUCUUCCAGAUACCUUUUUUGCCCUUUGGUUGGCAACGUCGAUGGAAAUAAUUGUGGGCGCGGUUGCUUUGGCACUUGUUCUAUUUCAUCUUCGUCAGUUCUUUUGCGUUUGCGAAACUUUUCCAGCUCUUGUUGUACUCCUAAUGGUGCCGGUUGCAACACGGUUUCAUCGGAGAAUUGCACAGGGUUUUCGUCAGGCGCUCUUCCAUAAUGCGUCUAGGAACAAUAUAGUACUCAUCCAUUUCCAAUCAACGAUGUUAGGACCCCAGCAAUAACCGGUAAGAUAGCCCCAAUAAAUCCUCCUUGUUGUAAGAUUAUUCGCUUUUGUUUGAGAGGAUAGCGUCGCAGUGCAAUGAGCUUUAAUGCUUUGCGAUGGCGUUUACAUUUAUCCAUUUGGGAUGGUGUCAAUGCGACAGUAUUUUUUACAAUGUUGACGGCGAUUUCUUCCAAAGCUUUCAUCUGCGGUUUACUCAUGUAACUCAUCAGAACGCGUCGUUGUCGCGGUUUUAAAUUCUGUAGGGUGAUGAUAAAGGGUGCUAACGAUUUUACGCGUUCCGACAUUUUGGCAGUUGUGACGAAUUUCGAUCCAAAUAAAUCCUCAUGUGCUCGUUGGGAAAGAUAUGGGAGCGAAUACGUAAGUAUUCUGGGCACGUUGGUCGCAAGUCCAAAAUUAAAGUAUUCGCUGCUAUAAUCAUUACGGAAGGAAUAGGAAAAGUCCUACAAAGUGAUUCCUGGAAUCAGACAUUACGUAAUAUGACGCUAUAACUCACAUCCUGCGUUCCGUCUCUUCGACAAAGACCGCAGAUCCCGGAAUACCAUGUGGAGGGUACCCGAUGUCCGCAAUAACGACCAUUCCGUAUUUCGGGAGUUCUUCGACACGAAAAAGGGUGGAUCUACGGUGCUUAAAUACUUGCAAAUAGUGGGAAGCACUGCUGGCCUUUGAUAGCAAUGGCACCCUGGGCGUUUUGGAAUCCAAACUUUACAGAGCCUGGUUUUCACACAUUAAAACGUUUUGUAUCCAGAAACUGGAAUUGUAGUGUUUGCAAUUUCUUUUGUCACAUGUACCGACGAAACAUUGUUUGAUAUUGUGGUUUUUUAUUUACAAAAUGAUGCCAUGAUAAACGGAGUUGUUUAUGACGACAUAUAUUAAGUAAAGCUGGUAAAUCAAAUGCAAUAAAGCUUUAAAUAAUGCAAUUAAAUAUCCACACAAACAGAACGAAAUCUGACGCAAGAUCGGAAUUCUGGGUGAAACGAAAGUAAACCAAACAAACAUUUACUUCUUUCCCCUUACCCGUUAUUCCGUUAGAGCUUGAAAGUAAUUGGCUAUCAAUCCUGGUUAAUCCAUGGAAUAGUACAACAAUAUCAUAUCAACACCCGGUAAACAAAUCAGUAGCAGUUGCAAUGGUUCAAAAAAAGAUUGGAUAGUAUACAAUGGCCGAAAACAGUUUUCUUCCGUAACUUUCAGAUAGAAUGCACACAUGUUUGUAAUUACCAACUAGAUUUUCAUA